RNAcentral lists this ribosomal RNA (497 nucleotides) under uncultured bacterium. RNAcentral describes it as "partial 16S ribosomal RNA". It matches the Rfam family "Bacterial small subunit ribosomal RNA", at positions 28 to 507 of the family's 1533-position model. The record is from RNAcentral.
GAUGAACGCUGGCGGCGUGCCUAAUACAGGCAAGUCGAGCGAACGGACGAGAAGCUUGCUUCUCUGAUGUUAGCGGCGGACGGGUGAGUAACACGUGGAUAACCUACCUAUAAGACUGGGAUAACUUCGGGAAACCGGAGCUAAUACCGGAUAAUAUUUUGAACCGCAUGGUUCAAAAGUGAAAGACGGUCUUGCUGUCACUUAUAGAUGGAUCCGCGCUGCAUUAGCUAGUUGGUAAGGUAACGGCUUACCAAGGCAACGAUGCAUAGCCGACCUGAGAGGGUGAUCGGCCACACUGGAACUGAGACACGGUCCAGACUCCUACGGGAGGCAGCAGUAGGGAAUCUUCCGCAAUGGGCGAAAGCCUGACGGAGCAACGCCGCGUGAGUGAUGAAGGUCUUCGGAUCGUAAAACUCUGUUAUUAGGGAAGAACAUAUGUGUAAGUAACUGUGCACAUCUUGACGGUACCUAAUCAGAAAGCCACGGCUAACUACGUG